This 262-nucleotide ribosomal RNA is filed under the name uncultured bacterium. RNAcentral describes it as "partial 16S ribosomal RNA". It matches the Rfam family "Bacterial small subunit ribosomal RNA", at positions 57 to 305 of the family's 1533-position model. The record is from RNAcentral.
GCAAGUCGAGCGAGAACGGUUUCUUCGGAAGCUUAGUAGAGCGGCGCACGGGUGAGUAACGCGUGGAUGAUCUACCUUGAAGAUUGGGAUAACAGCUGGAAACGACUGCUAAUACCAAAUACGAUUCAUAUUUAACUGUAUGAGUGAAAGAUGGCCUCUGCUUGCAAGCUAUCGCUUUGAGAUGAGUCCGCGUUUCAUUAGCUAGUUGGUAAGGUAAUGGCUUACCAAGGCGACGAUCCCCAGCUGGUCUGAGAGGAUGAUC